AACGAACGCUGGCGGCAUGCCUAACACAUGCAAGUCGAACGAGACCUUCGGGUCUAGUGGCGCACGGGUGCGUCACGCGUGGGAACCUGCCCUUAGGUUCGGAAUAACUCCCCGAAAUGGGUGCUAAUACCGGAUAAUUUCUUCGGACCAAAGAUUUAUCGCCUUUGGAUGGGCCCGCGUUGGAUUAGCUUGUUGGUAGUGUAAAAGCCUACCAAGGCUACGAUCCAUAGCUGGUCUGAGAGGAUGAUCAGCCACACUGGGACUGAGACACGGCCCAGACUCCUACGGGAGGCAGCAGUGGGGAAUAUUGGAAAAUGGGCGAAAGCCUGAUCCAGCAAUGCCGCGUGAGUGAUGAAGGCCUGAGGGUUGAAAAGCUCUUUUACCCGGGAUGAUAAUGACAGUACCGGGAGAAUAAGCUCCGGCUAACUCCGUG
Molecule: ribosomal RNA, 433 nt
Filed under: uncultured bacterium
Lineage: Bacteria
Description: partial 16S ribosomal RNA
Rfam family: Bacterial small subunit ribosomal RNA
Source: RNAcentral